ACUGAGACAGGAAAAUGAAGAAACUCUUAUUUACAUUGGUUUUCAUUGCCUGUAUUUUCUUUGUAUUCAGCUGAUCUUAUGUUAGAAAGCCUUCGGCCUGCUUUCGAAGUUAAAAGAUACCAUGUAGGCGGGUUGCGUUAGUGACAUAUUUCCUUCAGUUCCAUGAUAUUUUCAUCUGAAAGGAGACGAAAAACGGGAAGCCUGCAUAUGAUCCCAUUUUGUGUGAAUCGGAAGGAAAGGUCGUAAAGGAUCAAUAUCAAAGGAGACCCGUUGUAAGUUGGCACCGUGACAGGAAAAUGAGAAAACUCAUAUUGACAUUGGUUUUCAGUGCCUGUAUUGUCUACGUAUCUGGCCGAUCUUAUGUUAGUGAAACAAAAGCUCUCUUGGCAGAGAAGUGGGCUAGACGGAAAUUGCCCCCACUUUUGUUGGAAAGGAGCGACUCUGUGAAACUAAGCGAGAAGAGGCGAGUCAGCGCAAACAUGGUUCAUCAUCACUUCUCAUCGUCAGCCGGGUUUCGAUAGCUGAGUAGUCCCAGUGAAAUGAACGUCUGACGGCUGACACAGAAAGUUGAGAUAUAUGCAAAGAAGCCAUAACUGCUGCUGAAGUGAAUUUAAUCACUGAGGAGACCCGACAUAAAAGCUUGACUUGAAGGCCGCAGUUAGCAUUUAAAUGUAAUUAUUGAUAAUGAUAUUAAAAUUACAAUUAUAUUAAUAACAACAACAAUAAAAAUAAUGUCACCACAAUUAAUGUAAUAAGCCACAAGUAAAGUUCAGUAAAAAUAAUUACAAGGUUUUGCACGGUGGGUUAGCACAAGGUUUUGUUUCUGAGUUUUCU
Molecule: non-coding RNA, 834 nt
Organism: Pocillopora verrucosa
Lineage: Eukaryota; Metazoa; Cnidaria; Anthozoa; Scleractinia; Pocilloporidae
Source: RefSeq, a predicted model, not a curated record